GUGCCAGCAGCCGCGGUAAUACGGAGGGUGCAAGCGUUGCUCGGAAUUACUGGGCGUAAAGCGUACGCAGGCGGUCUGAUAAGUCGGGUGUGAAAGCCCCAGGCUCAACCUGGGAACUGCAUCCGAAACUGCCAGACUUGAGUUCGGGAGAGGGAAGUGGAAUUCCUGGUGUAGAGGUGAAAUUCGUUGAUAUCAGGAGGAACACCGGCGGCGAAAGCGGCUUCCUGGCCCGAUACUGACGCUCAUGUACGAAAGCGUGGGGAGCAAACAGGAUUAGAUACCCUGGUAGUCC
Molecule: ribosomal RNA, 292 nt
Filed under: uncultured bacterium
Lineage: Bacteria
Description: partial 16S ribosomal RNA
Rfam family: Bacterial small subunit ribosomal RNA
Source: RNAcentral